AGUAGACGUUCAGAGUUUGAUCCUGGCUCAGGAUGAACGCUAGCGGGAGGCCUAACACAUGCAAGCCGAGCGGUAUUUGUCCUUCGGGACAGAGAGAGCGGCGUACGGGUGCGGAACACGUGUGCAACCUGCCUUUAUCUGGGGGAUAGCCUUUCGAAAGGAAGAUUAAUACCCCAUAAUAUAUCGAAUGGCAUCAUUCGAUAUUGAAAACUCCGGUGGAUAGAGAUGGGCACGCGCAAGAUUAGAUAGUUGGUGAGGUAACGGCUCACCAAGUCAGUGAUCUUUAGGGGGCCUGAGAGGGUGAUCCCCCACACUGGUACUGAGACACGGACCAG
RNAcentral lists this ribosomal RNA (335 nucleotides) under uncultured bacterium. RNAcentral's name for it is "bacterial SSU rRNA". It matches the Rfam family "Bacterial small subunit ribosomal RNA", at positions 1 to 334 of the family's 1533-position model. The record is from RNAcentral.